GGAGCAGUAGCUCAGUUUGGUUAGAGUAUCGGCCUGUCACGCCGAGGGUCGCGGGUUCGAGUCCCGUCUGCUCCGCCA
Molecule: transfer RNA, 78 nt
Filed under: Pseudomonadota bacterium
Lineage: Bacteria; Pseudomonadati; Pseudomonadota
Also listed under: 4 other names
Description: Proteobacteria bacterium (cold seep metagenome) tRNA-Asp
Rfam family: tRNA
About the family: Transfer RNA (tRNA) molecules are approximately 80 nucleotides in length. Their secondary structure includes four short double-helical elements and three loops (D, anti-codon, and T loops).
Source: RNAcentral